Diabrotica virgifera virgifera (western corn rootworm) is the source of this 393-nucleotide long non-coding RNA. RefSeq lists it as uncharacterized. Lineage: Eukaryota; Metazoa; Arthropoda; Insecta; Coleoptera; Chrysomelidae. The transcript is spliced from 2 exons. The record is from RefSeq and is a predicted model, not a curated record.
UAAACGUCAUUUUAUUUUGUUAUAUCUUUUUUUAUAACAGCUCCAGAAUGACUGAACUGAAUUAACUAAAUUUGCAGAAGUCCAAAGAAGGUUUAAAAGAUGUGCCCACUUUUAGAGAGACUCGAAACCCACCUAGAGAGAAUUUCAGACUAUACAGAUAAAUGGAAGAUAAAGAUCAACACAGAGAAGACCUAGUUCAUAUCUUGACAUCGCAGACCGUACCAACCAGAGAAGAAUUAACGAUGAGAAGAAAUAGAAUCCAGUCGGAAGAGGUCAUAAAAUAUCUAGGACCCCAUCUCGACAGAAGAUUGAACUAGAAUAGUAGAGCUACACUAAUUCCCACUUACCUUAUAAGUUUUAGCAAUGAUAGCUGUUGGCCUUCCUUUAACGGAA